This 284-nucleotide long non-coding RNA is filed under the name Gossypium barbadense (sea-island cotton). Its description in RNAcentral is "long non-coding RNA (GBAR_LNC023472)". The record is from RNAcentral. Lineage: Eukaryota; Viridiplantae; Streptophyta; Magnoliopsida; Malvales; Malvaceae.
CUGUUGCGGAAAGGAUCGAUUCGAGAACUCCGAUAUGACUACAAGUAAAUUGACCGAAACGAAAAAUAAAGUGAACACAAGGAUUUACGUGGUUCGGCUUUAAUGCCUACGUCCACGGGCAGAGGCGAAAAGAAAUUUCACUAUAACAAGAUGAAGAUUACAAGUGUUUUACACUCAAGACACAACCCGAGAACCUCACAACUCUCAACCCCUAUAGAAAACCCGAAAGCUAAAAUCCUAGCUUUCAAAGAACAAGCUUUGCUCUCUCUUAGUUUGGGAUGAUG